AUUGAACGCUGGCGGCAGGCCUAACACAUGCAAGUCGAGCGAGCGGCGGACGGGUGUGUAAUGUCUGGGAAACUGCCUGAUGGAGGGGGAUAACUACUGGAAACGGUAGCUAAUACCGCAUACCAUCAGAUGUGCCCAGCUGGGAUUAGCUAGUAGGUGGGGUAACGGCUCACCUAGGCGUCGAUCCCUAGCUGGUCUGAGAGGUGGACCAGCCACACUGGAGCUGAGACACGGUCCAGCCUCGUACGGGAGGAGGCAGUGGGGAAUAUUGCACAAGGGGCGCAAGCCUGAUGCAGCCAUGCCGCGUGUGUGAAGAAGGCCUUCGGGUUGUAAAGCACUUUCAGCGGGGAGGCGUUACCCGCAGAAGAAGCACCGGCUAACUCCGGGCCAGCAGCCGCGGUAAUUC
RNAcentral lists this ribosomal RNA (406 nucleotides) under uncultured bacterium. RNAcentral describes it as "partial 16S ribosomal RNA". It matches the Rfam family "Bacterial small subunit ribosomal RNA", at positions 29 to 526 of the family's 1533-position model. The record is from RNAcentral.